RNAcentral lists this transfer RNA (73 nucleotides) under Pleurocapsa sp. CRU_1_2. Its description in RNAcentral is "tRNA-Ala". It matches the Rfam family "tRNA". From Rfam's summary of the family: Transfer RNA (tRNA) molecules are approximately 80 nucleotides in length. Lineage: Bacteria; Bacillati; Cyanobacteriota; Cyanophyceae; Pleurocapsales; Pleurocapsaceae. RNAcentral also lists the same sequence under 21 other names. The record is from RNAcentral.
GGGGCAUUAGCUCAGUUGGUAGAGUGCUUGCAUGGCAUGCAAGAUGUCAGCGGUUCAAAUCCGCUAUGCUCCA